UGGGGAAUAUUGGACAAUGGGCGAAAGCCUGAUCCAGCCAUGCCGCGUGUGUGAAGAAGGUCUUCGGAUUGUAAAGCACUUUAAGUUGGGAGGAAGGGCAGUAAGCGAAUACCUUGCUGUUUUGACGUUACCGACAGAAUAAGCACCGGCUAACUCUGUGCCAGCAGCCGCGGUAAUACAGAGGGUGCAAGCGUUAAUCGGAAUUACUGGGCGUAAAGCGCGCGUAGGUGGUUCGUUAAGUUGAAUGUGAAAGCCCCGGGCUCAACCUGGGAACUGCAUCCAAAACUGGCGAGCUAGAGUAGGGCAGAGGGUGGUGGAAUUUCCUGUGUAGCGGUGAAAUGCGUAGAUAUAGGAAGGAACACCAGUGGCGAAGGCGACCACCUGGGCUCAUACUGACACUGAAGUGCGAAAGCGUGGGGGGCAAACAGG
RNAcentral lists this ribosomal RNA (429 nucleotides) under Pseudomonadota bacterium. RNAcentral's name for it is "Proteobacteria bacterium partial 16S ribosomal RNA". It matches the Rfam family "Bacterial small subunit ribosomal RNA", at positions 355 to 776 of the family's 1533-position model. The record is from RNAcentral. Lineage: Bacteria; Pseudomonadati; Pseudomonadota.